This 73-nucleotide transfer RNA is filed under the name Penaeus vannamei (Pacific white shrimp). Its description in RNAcentral is "Litopenaeus vannamei (Pacific white shrimp) tRNA". It matches the Rfam family "tRNA". Rfam says of the family: Transfer RNA (tRNA) molecules are approximately 80 nucleotides in length. Their secondary structure includes four short double-helical elements and three loops (D, anti-codon, and T loops). Lineage: Eukaryota; Metazoa; Arthropoda; Malacostraca; Decapoda; Penaeidae. The record is from Rfam by way of RNAcentral.
GUAGUUGUGGUGUAGUGGUUAACGAGCCUGACUUUGAAUCAGGAAAUCUCGGGUUCGAUUCCCGACAGGAACA